Molecule: microRNA, 22 nt
Filed under: Corchorus capsularis
Lineage: Eukaryota; Viridiplantae; Streptophyta; Magnoliopsida; Malvales; Malvaceae
Description: sRNA CCACVL1_01496
Source: RNAcentral
GGCAUGGGUGGGGUAGGUAAGA